This 200-nucleotide ribosomal RNA is filed under the name uncultured bacterium. RNAcentral describes it as "partial 16S ribosomal RNA". It matches the Rfam family "Bacterial small subunit ribosomal RNA", at positions 29 to 259 of the family's 1533-position model. The record is from RNAcentral.
AACGAACGCUGGCGGCAGGCUUAACACAUGCAAGUCGAACGCCCCGCAAGGGGAGUGGCAGACGGGUGAGUAACGCGUGGGAAUCUACCGUGCCCUGCGGAAUAGCUCUGGGAAACUGGAAUUAAUACCGCAUACGCCCUACGGGGAAAGAUUUAUCGGGGUAUGAUGAGCCCGCGUUGGAUUAGCUAGUUGGUGGGGUA